Long non-coding RNA from Microplitis demolitor, 678 nucleotides. RefSeq lists it as uncharacterized. The record is from RefSeq and is a predicted model, not a curated record. Lineage: Eukaryota; Metazoa; Arthropoda; Insecta; Hymenoptera; Braconidae. The transcript has 3 exons.
UUUAAUCGUUUCGACUCGUCUUUAAUCUUCAUCCAUCUUUUUUUUCAUUACAUCUUUUUUCUCCAUCUAGUAAAAAUUAUUAUUAUCAACAUUCAAGUUUUAUGCAACAAAAUUAUCUCAAAAAAAAAAAAAUAAUUAUCACUGGAAACGUCAAAGGUCACUAUUUUCGACAUAGAAAAGUCACGAUCUGCAAUUUAUCAAAAAUUCUUCAAUUUUUUUCUCCGUAUAGUAAAAAUUAUUAUUAUCGACAUUAAAGAGUUUUGCAACAAAGAUAUUGCAAUAAAAUAACUAUCAUUGGAAAUGGUGAAGGUCACUACUUUCAGCAGAUAAAAACUAGCGAUCCGCAAAUCGAUUACACAAAAGCUCAUAGAACUUCGAGAACAACAAUUGCUCAAGAUAUAAAAUCAAAAAAAUGUCGAAAAUAAUUUUAUUAUUAUCAAUUUUUGUAUUGAUUGGUCUCUACGCUGGUGCAGAUGCAGCAUGUCCAGGCGGUUGGUGCCAUCCAUCCCAAGGUUAUGGCUGUUGUGAAGGAAAUGUGUGCAGUUCGUAUUUUUUCCAAGGUACGUGCAUAACUACUGCGGAGGCCGAUGACGAUAUACCUAUGAUAGGAAAAUAAUUAUAACAAUACAGUAAAAAUUUAAAGAUGUAUUUUUCCAAUUAAUAAAACUCUCAAUGCAU